RNAcentral lists this ribosomal RNA (465 nucleotides) under uncultured bacterium. Its description in RNAcentral is "partial 16S ribosomal RNA". It matches the Rfam family "Bacterial small subunit ribosomal RNA", at positions 28 to 507 of the family's 1533-position model. The record is from RNAcentral.
GACGGACGCUGGCGGCGUGCUUAACACAUGCAAGUCGAACGGAAAGGCCCUGCUUGCAGGGUACUCGAGUGGCGAACGGGUGAGUAACACGUGGGUGAUCUGCCCUGCACUUCGGGAUAAGCCUGGGAAACUGGGUCUAAUACCGGAUAGGAGCCAUUUUUAGUGUGAUGGUUGGAAAGUUUUUUCGGUGUAGGAUGAGCUCGCGGCCUAUCAGCUUGUUGGUGGGGUAAUGGCCUACCAAGGCGGCGACGGGUAGCCGGCCUGAGAGGGUGGACGGCCACAUUGGGACUGAGAUACGGCCCAGACUCCUACGGGAGGAAGAAGUGGGGAAGAUUGAACAAGGGGCGCAGGCCUGAUGCAGCGACGCCGCGUGGGGGAUGACGGCCUUCGGGUUGUAGACUCCUUUCGCUAGGGACGAAGCUUUUUGUGACGGUACCUAGAUAAGAAGCACCGGCUAACUACGUG